GUGUGUGGCAAUUAACAGCUAUUGUAUUGGUGGCCAAAUGGGGUUGGGGUGCGUGUGUGGCUAUAUAUUGCUAGUAUGUGCGCAUGUGUGGCCGAGGAAAGGUCAGUGUGUGUGGUUGAGUGAAGCUGGUGGUGGGGUGGCAAAAAUAGAGUGUGUGUGUAUGGCUAACCAAGGUCGAGGAGGUAUGUGUGUGUGGCUGAAAGGCUGGGGUGCGUGUGUGGCUAGAUUGAAGCUGAUGAGUGGCUUGUGUGGCCGAACUAGGACCGGUAGAGUGUUUGGUGGUUGAAGGCAAGGUAGGUAGUGGAGGUACACGUGUAUGGGUAGUGUAGGAUUAGAGAGAGAGGGUGUGGCGAGAGGGUUAUGAGGAUGAGGAAUAGGUGUAAUGUUAGAUUAGAUGUUUAAAUGUAUUUUCAUG
Molecule: long non-coding RNA, 415 nt
Filed under: Carica papaya (papaya)
Lineage: Eukaryota; Viridiplantae; Streptophyta; Magnoliopsida; Brassicales; Caricaceae
Description: long non-coding RNA (CPAP_LNC011682)
Source: RNAcentral